ACGGAGGUCCCGAGCGUUGUUCGGAAUUACUGGGCGUAAAGGGAGCGCAGGCGGACGGGCCAGUCUAAAGUGGAAAUGCGGGGCUUAACCUCGGACUUGCUUCGGAUACUGCCUGACUUGAGUUCGUGAGAGGAAGAUGGAAUUCAGGGUGUAGCGGUGAAAUGCGCAGAUAUUAGGAGGAACACCAGUGGCGAAGGCGGCCUUCUGGACUGAAACUGACGCUGAGGCGCGAAAGCGUGGGUAGCAAACAG
RNAcentral lists this ribosomal RNA (251 nucleotides) under uncultured prokaryote. RNAcentral describes it as "partial 16S rRNA". It matches the Rfam family "Bacterial small subunit ribosomal RNA", at positions 525 to 775 of the family's 1533-position model. The record is from RNAcentral.